AAUGAGUUAUUUCAUAGUUUUCUCCUUCACUCUUUUCUUUGUUAACACAUUUAGAUCACCGGUGACCUACAGAGGAUUUUACGCAAAUAGUGUCGAUCUUUAAUAGCAACUCGACAUCAUAGUAAUAUAAUGGAUGUUAAAAGUUUGGCGAAUAUUGCCGUUCCAAGUUAUGCUCAAGGGCUUCGAAUUUUCGUGGUUGAUCCUGACACUACUUCACUAAUGCACACAGCAGCCAUACUCGAAGAACAUUCUUAUAAAGUGACAACGAUUGAAUUAGCAACUAUUGCCUUGUCAAUGAUUCGAGAAAGGCAGAACCAAUAUGACCUUAUCAUUGCUGAAGUCAACAUGCAAGAGAUGGACGGAUUCACAUUUCUCAAGCACAUUUUGCAUGAAAAAGACAUCCCAA
This is a long non-coding RNA of Lycium barbarum (goji berry), 406 nucleotides long. RefSeq lists it as uncharacterized. The transcript has 3 exons. NCBI's taxonomy places the organism in Eukaryota, Viridiplantae, Streptophyta, Magnoliopsida, Solanales, Solanaceae. The record is from RefSeq and is a predicted model, not a curated record.